UGCGGACGGGUGAGUAAUGCCUGGGAAACUGCCUGAUGGAGGGGGAUAACUACUGGAAACGGUAGCUAAUACCGCAUAACGUCGCAAGACCAAAGAGGGGGACCUUCGGGCCUCUUGCCAUCGGAUGUGCCCAGAUGGGAUUAGCUAGUAGGUGGGGUAACGGCUCACCUAGGCGACGAUCCCUAGCUGGUCUGAGAGGAUGACCAGCCACACUGGAACUGAGACACGGUCCAG
RNAcentral lists this ribosomal RNA (234 nucleotides) under uncultured bacterium. RNAcentral's name for it is "partial 16S ribosomal RNA". It matches the Rfam family "Bacterial small subunit ribosomal RNA", at positions 97 to 334 of the family's 1533-position model. The record is from RNAcentral.